This 253-nucleotide ribosomal RNA is filed under the name uncultured bacterium. Its description in RNAcentral is "partial 16S ribosomal RNA". It matches the Rfam family "Bacterial small subunit ribosomal RNA", at positions 524 to 776 of the family's 1533-position model. The record is from RNAcentral.
GACGUAGGGGGCCAGCGUUGUUCGGAAUUACUGGGUGUAAAGGGUUCGUAGGCGGUGUGGCAAGUCGGGAGUGAAAUCUCUGGGCCCAACUCAGAGACUGCUUCCGAAACUGCUGUGCUGGAGUGUGGGAGAGGCGCGUGGAAUUGCAGGUGUAGCGGUGAAAUGCGUAGAUAUCUGCAGGAACACCCGUGGCGAAAGCGGCGCGCUGGACCUCUUCUGACGCUGAGGCGCGAAAGCCAGGGGAGCAAACGGG